UACACGAAGUGCGUAUGGUGGAUGCCUUGGGAGAAGAAGCCGAUGAAGGACGUAGCAGGCUGCGAUAAGCGUCGGGGAGCUGCCAAGCGAGCAUUGAUCCGACGAUCUCCGAAUGGGGAUACCUCUUGCUGUGAAGCAGCGAGGUUGCCAGGAGUGCUCCACCACUCUGUCUCUACCGUCAGAUCCAUACUUUAGGGAUCUUCCAGACGGUCUCAAACGAGCGCAGGGUGGUUGGGCACUCCUGACAUCGGGCACCUGGGGAACUGAAACAUCUCAGUACCCAGAGGAACAGAAAACAACACUCUCAGUUUUGAGAGAUAGUUCUGUUGUCGUUUGUGGCGCAAGCCCCAAGCGCCGACACGAAUUAUGUGAUUCCGUCAGUAGCGGCGAGCGAACGCGGAGGAGCCCAGCGAUGGAAGGCGGGUGAGUGGUAGUGGAACGCUCCUGGAACGGACGACCAGAGCGGGUGAGAGUCCCGUACACGAAACUACCCAUCCAAACUGAAAUCGCCGAUCUGUCGCAAGAUAGAUUGUGAGUAGGCCGAGGCACGUGAAACCUCGGUUGAAGACCGGUGGAUCAUCACCGAAGGCUACAUACUUCUUCUCACCGAUAGCGAACAAGUACCGUGAGGGAAAGGUGAAAAGUACCCCUAGCCGGGGAGUGAAAUAGACCUGAAACCGUACGCAUACAAGGAGUCGGAGCCUCAGUUUACUGGGGUGACGGCGUGCCUAUUGAAGAAUGAGCCAACGAGUAUCUGGACGCGGCAGGUUAAGUUGCACCAUGCAACGGAGCCAAAGCGAAAGCGAGUCUUAACCGGCGUUAGUCGCGCUCAGAUGACCCGAAACCGGGUGAGCUACCCUUGGGCAGGAUGAACGUUCCGUAACAGGAACGGGAGGUCCGAACCCACCGUGAUCACAAACACGGGGGAUGACCUGAGGGUAGAGGUGAAACGCUUAUCGAACCCGGAGAUAGCU
Molecule: ribosomal RNA, 974 nt
Filed under: Candidatus Berkelbacteria bacterium
Lineage: Bacteria; Candidatus Berkelbacteria
Description: partial 23S ribosomal RNA
Rfam family: Bacterial large subunit ribosomal RNA
Source: RNAcentral